Long non-coding RNA from Mauremys mutica (yellowpond turtle), 1391 nucleotides. RefSeq lists it as uncharacterized. The record is from RefSeq and is a predicted model, not a curated record. NCBI's taxonomy places the organism in Eukaryota, Metazoa, Chordata, Testudines, Geoemydidae. The transcript has 3 exons.
UUAGCAGGUCAGUUCCUGGCAGGAACUGGAGGAGCAAGAAAGGGUGCUGCUCUCUGGCCACAGAAAGUCAGGGGAUAGCUAGAGUUUGAUUCUGGAAGCAUUUGUUUAAGCUGGGUUUGCAGGAAGAGAGUCCCUAAGAACUUUAACCCUGAGGUGAGAGUGAAGCUAAAAGUGGCUGGUAGGAAGAAGCAACAAUGAACUGAAAAAAAGCAGUGCCUAGCUACUGUUUACAGGGUCCAUGGUUUGGAAGCCAGAGUUAUGGGCAGGCCCAGUUCCCCUACCAUCUACAGUGGCAUAAGCCCCAUGAAGGGGAAAAUGCUUAUGGAGAGCUUGAACAAAGGGCAGAAUUUCAAGGACCCAGAGUUGGGGCUGGAGACCUUAGUGAGGGCAAUGGGACUGUUCUUGACUAUCCCAGAGGGGUUCAUUUGGACUUUGGGACUUAGCCAGAGGCCUGAGCCACAGAAGACUCACUGAGGUCGGCUGGCAGGGUUCCCCAGGGGUGAGAAAAGGACUGUGGUACCAGACCCAGCCACUAAGAGGCUCUCAAAAGGUCCUAGCACAAUGGGAAUCUGGUCUGUGACUGGGACUAUGAGGCAGUACGGCAAUACAAAUAAUCACAUGCUGAUCUACAGAAAUACUUUUGUACCCUGGCCAUCCCCACUGGCUUAAGAGAUUAGUCACUGAAAAAUGGAAAGCCUGGAGACUUUUUCCCCAUUUGAUGGUCUUGUGGUAAGCUGGGUCAUGUAUAUGGACCUGGAGAAGAAAGAGGAGGUGGCAUUCAUUUGGAUGAAGAGGAAUUUUGGACAAUGGAUUAUGUCUGGAAAGGCAGGUGUUCUGUUUCACUGAUCAGCUCUCUCCCCAAAGUGCAGUGAAGCAACAAGCAUUAGCUUCAGACUCUUGCGGCAACUUUAUGUACAGUGAAUUUCAUUGCAUAUGUCCCGCUUGCUGAUGCCACCAUGGCAAUAGGUAACACAUGAAUACAAGCCAAGUUUGAUUUAAAAAAAAAAUUGCCUCAGGUUAGGCGGUUGUGUUCAUAUCUAGGUCCCCAAAUAAAUGGCUUGACUUGUACUAGCACUGAGUGCUAAGAAAUUCCCAAUAGGUACUCAUUUUUAAAAACAAUAUUGGGCAAAGUCCACUGGGAGUAUGAAGCAGUUUUGCUAUAUAGAAAGAGUAGCAAGCUCCAGCAAACAGGCUGCUUUCAGUUAUCUUUGCACUAUACCCAUUUUUGGAGAAUAACUUUAGUCUAAGUCUAACUUUUCUAUGUUGCAGCUGUGCGGGUAUUGUAUUUCCACUAACCCCAUCUCCCAGGCACCUGGGAGAUGCAAGGGGCUAAUUAUCUGUAUUGUAAAGUUUGAGCUGAGGUUUUGGGGGGGGAACCCAGAGCUGGCGUU